This 424-nucleotide ribosomal RNA is filed under the name uncultured prokaryote. RNAcentral describes it as "bacterial SSU rRNA". It matches the Rfam family "Bacterial small subunit ribosomal RNA", at positions 355 to 796 of the family's 1533-position model. The record is from RNAcentral.
UGGGGAAUAUUGGACAAUGGGGGAAACCCUGAUCCAGCAAUGCCGCGUGCGUGAAGAAGGCCUUAGGGUUGUAAAGCGCUUUCACCUGCGAGGAUGAUGACAGUAGCAGGAGAAGAAGCCCCGGCUAACUCCGUGCCAGCAGCCGCGGUAAUACGGAGGGGGCUAGCGUUGUUCGGAAUCACUGGGCGUAAAGGGCGUGUAGGCGGCGGAUCAAGUUAGGCGUGAAAGCCCCGGGCUCAACCUGGGAUGUGCGCUUGAUACUGAUUGGCUAGAGUCCGGGAGAGGCGAGUGGAAUAUCCAGUGUAGAGGUGAAAUUCGUAGAUAUUGGAUGGAACACCUGUGGCGAAGGCGGCUCGCUGGACCGGUACUGACGCUGAGGCGCGAAAGCGUGGGGAGCAAACAGGAUUAGAUACCCCUGUAGUCC